UUGUGAAAUGCAAGUAUGUAUUUGGAAUCACACACGUCCCUCGGUUGGAAGAUUGGCCUGUUAAGCCAGUGGAGCGCAUUGGCUUUAUGCUUAUGCCUCAUGGGUUCUUCAACUGCUCUCCUGCUGUAGAUGUUCCUCCCAACUCCUAUGAAUUGGAUGCCAACGGAAAUGAUGUCAAGGGCAAUGGGAUAGCCAAGACAAUUCAGCCUGCAUUGCUGGCGAAGAUGUGAAGAGAUGUUGCUCUCAUGUGAAUGUCUUUUAUAUGUAAAAGAAAGGUGACAUUCUGUUGCUUUCAAUUCAAGCAAGCAAUAAGUGGGGAGUUCUUCAAUCUCUAUAAAAUGGAACUUUAUUCUGAUUC
Molecule: long non-coding RNA, 358 nt
Organism: Juglans microcarpa x Juglans regia
Lineage: Eukaryota; Viridiplantae; Streptophyta; Magnoliopsida; Fagales; Juglandaceae
Exons: 2
Source: RefSeq, a predicted model, not a curated record